Long non-coding RNA from Lingula anatina, 434 nucleotides. Lineage: Eukaryota; Metazoa; Brachiopoda; Lingulata; Lingulida; Lingulidae. The record is from RefSeq and is a predicted model, not a curated record.
UUGUUCAGCUCGGUGCCAGCUUUCGCAGUUACACGGUUUUCACAUUUCAGCACAUAGUUUGAUUAACUAUUCAAGCACAUUAGAUUGCGGAAAUACAAUCCACAUAUGAAGAAGAUGUCUGAAAAAGAAAGAGACGCUGUGAAAGAUUUGAAACAUUAGCGAAAGGGGGAUCCCUAGGACUAUGUCAAAAUGAAGGGGGAGGUGGUCGCUCUUGCCAGGCGACAUGUCAGGUUUACUACGACAGCUGGUCUGUUGCUGGUCGCCUCUGUCUGUCUGUACAGGUAUAUACACUGGAUGAUCAUCCCCUGGUGCUUUAUAGCAGGAAUUAUACCAAUGUAUUUUAUACUGAGUUCCUAUGAUGAAGACACAUAUUGGAUGGGUGAAUGAGAUGAACAUGUCUACAAAAACUGAGAGCCUUUGAAUGAUCACCCAGC